UUCUCGGAAGCUAUCAACUUUGCUUGUCCUCGAUGAACUGGUCCCGAAAUGUGCGUGAGCGUGUGGUCGAAAAAGCUUGAAGUUGGAGCCUGCAGUCAGUUCUUCGGCCGAAUCAGACCCCAAUCUCUUGCUUCCACCGAAACACGCUCACGUACAUAUCGGGACCAGUUCAUCGAGGACAAGCAAAGUUGAUAGCUUCCGAGAA
Molecule: microRNA precursor, 205 nt
Filed under: Ectocarpus siliculosus
Lineage: Eukaryota; Phaeophyceae; Ectocarpales; Ectocarpaceae
Description: miR8624b stem-loop (esi-MIR8624b)
Source: miRBase by way of RNAcentral